Molecule: ribosomal RNA, 572 nt
Filed under: Torulaspora cf. microellipsoides
Lineage: Eukaryota; Fungi; Ascomycota; Saccharomycetes; Saccharomycetales; Saccharomycetaceae
Description: LSU rRNA
Rfam family: Eukaryotic large subunit ribosomal RNA
Source: RNAcentral
AACCAACCGGGAUUGCCUUAGUAACGGCGAGUGAAGCGGCAAAAGCUCAAAUUUGAAAUCUGGUACCUUUGGUGCCCGAGUUGUAAUUUGUAGAAGGUAACUUUGGGGCUGGUCCUUGUCUAUGUUCCUUGGAACAGGACGUCAUAGAGGGUGAGAAUCCCGUGUGGCGAGGAUCCCAGUUCUUUGUAAAGUGCUUUCGAAGAGUCGAGUUGUUUGGGAAUGCAGCUCUAAGUGGGUGGUAAAUUCCAUCUAAAGCUAAAUAUUGGCGAGAGACCGAUAGCGAACAAGUACAGUGAUGGAAAGAUGAAAAGAACUUUGAAAAGAGAGUGAAAAAGUACGUGAAAUUGUUGAAAGGGAAGGGCAUUUGAUCAGACAUGGUGUUUUGCGCCCUCUGCUCCUUGUGGGUGGGGGAAUCUCGCAGCUCACUGGGCCAGCAUCGGUUUUGGCGGCAGGAUAAAUCUGCAGGAAUGUAACUUGCCUCGGUAAGUAUUAUAGCCUGUAGGAAUACUGCCAGCUGGGACUGAGGACUGCGACUUUACGUCAAGGAUGCUGGCAUAAUGGUUAUAUGCCGC